GACGAACGCUGGCGGCGUGCUUAACACAUGCAAGUCGAACGGAAAGGCCCUGCUUGCAGGGUACUCGAGUGGCGAACGGGUGGGUAACACGUGGGUGAUCUGCCCUGCUCUUCGGGAUAAGCCUGGGAAACUGGGUCUAAUACCGGAUAGGUGACAUUUUUAGUGUGAUGGUUGGAAAGUUUUUUCGGUGUAGGAUGAGCUCGCGGCCUAUCGGCUUGUUGGUGGGGUAAUGGCCUACCAAGGCGGCGGCGGGUAGCCGGCCUGUGAGGGUGGACGGCCACAUUGGGACUGAGAUACGGCCCAGACUCCUACGGGAGGCAGCAGUGGGGAAUAUUGCACAAUGAGCGCAAGCCUGAUGCAGCGGCGCCGCGUGGGGGAUGACGGCCUUCGGAUUGUAAACUCCUUGCGCUAGGAACGAGGCUUUUUGUGACGGUACCUAGAUAAGAAGCACCGGCUAACUACGUG
RNAcentral lists this ribosomal RNA (465 nucleotides) under uncultured bacterium. Its description in RNAcentral is "partial 16S ribosomal RNA". It matches the Rfam family "Bacterial small subunit ribosomal RNA", at positions 28 to 507 of the family's 1533-position model. The record is from RNAcentral.